This 1304-nucleotide long non-coding RNA is filed under the name Ursus maritimus (polar bear). RNAcentral describes it as "lncRNA (ENSUMAG00000009917.1)". The record is from RNAcentral. Lineage: Eukaryota; Metazoa; Chordata; Mammalia; Carnivora; Ursidae.
CCGCGGCCACCCGCCGGGCCCGAGAGCGCUUGCCCGGGUGUUCCGACUUGCCCGAGCCACCUCCCUCGCCAGGACGUUUCCCAAGGUGAGAGUCUGGGGUCACGGCCCCCACACAGGUGACUUACUCCGUGUGGCUGAAGGGACCGGCAGGCAUCAGCCGGGCGUCAGCCUGGUCCCUUGGAUCACCUUCCUGCCCCUCCCAGCACGCGCACACACACAGACGCACGCACACACACGCGCGCUCACACCCCCAUACUCACUCCUGCUCCCACCUCCGGCUCUCCAGCUUAUACACCCGCCCCUCCAAGUCCCGACCGACCUCCUAGUUGAUCCAGCGAUCCAGCCGGUGCCUUGUAGCCCCUUACGCGCCUCUCCCCAGCCUUCGAGCCUGCUGACCACGCCUUCCUUUCUGGAUCGCUGGGAGCACGAAAGUUUCCGCAGUUGGCGCCUGCUCCUAUCUCUCCAAAUCUCCUGCAUACCUUGGUGACUCCACCUUCUCACCCUCCAAGGCUGGGCUUUUCCAUGGUGGUGUUCCCCCAGGUCCCACCGCAGCCUGUCUCCUCUGUCACUCUGCGGGCCUACCCAGUCUUGUGGUUUCAACGACCUCCUGCCUGCCGAUGACUUUUGAACUCACAUCCAACCCAGGACGUCCUAGAGCUGCAGGUGGUGUAUCCAGCUUCCUGGGGUCCGUCUCCACUGGAGGUUUGUAGUCCCAAACUCAAACUCCUAAUUUCCUUCCAGGAACGUGCCAGAAGCUGCUGCUGCUCCUGUGUUUCCAGUCUUAAUGACGGAUAGCACCACCUCCCACUCCAGGCCGUACUGGGGAGCCAUCCUUGACUCUCUCCUUUUCAUCUCUCACGUGAAAUGUGUCACCAAGGGAGGAAAUGGAACCAGUCAUUAGCCCUGGAGCAGACACCCUUGGUCUGGCCAAGCUAUCAACCUGCCUCUCAAGAUGUGAUGCCUAAAAGAUGCCCUGGGACUUCCUGCUGUUCCUCCUUGAUGCCAGCUCCUUACAGCAAAACCAUCUGUUGUCGUUACCUCACCCUGGGCUGGCCUUCUUCCCAUCACCUGCAGCUGGUCUUCUCUCCAAACACCUGUCCCUGCUGGCUGCAGUUAACCCUUCUUUUUCUGGCUGUGUUACUGGAUACAACCCUAACUCUAAAAUGAACAACUAAAUAACAAACUAAAUAGAUUAACUCUUGGUCUCAGUCUGUUAUGAUCCCUGAGGUACAUUUUUGAAAUGGCUUAAGAGUGAUAAUGUCUGGGCCAAAUAAAGUGGUCUCACGCAGAUAAAAUUUUACCCA